UUGCUGUGAUGAUGGAUUCCAAAACCAUUCGUAGUUUCCACCAGAAGUCUUGUGCUGGUCAGUUCCUUCCUUGGAUGUCUGAAUGA
This 86-nucleotide small nucleolar RNA is filed under the name Jaculus jaculus (lesser Egyptian jerboa). Its description in RNAcentral is "Small nucleolar RNA SNORD14 (ENSJJAG00000003055.1)". Lineage: Eukaryota; Metazoa; Chordata; Mammalia; Rodentia; Dipodidae. The record is from RNAcentral.